Molecule: long non-coding RNA, 462 nt
Filed under: Ananas comosus (pineapple)
Lineage: Eukaryota; Viridiplantae; Streptophyta; Magnoliopsida; Poales; Bromeliaceae
Description: long non-coding RNA (ACOM_LNC038516)
Source: RNAcentral
GAUCGAGAGAGCUAGGGUUGCGAGGGAGGGGAGAGGUCAAGGGGACGAAGAGGAUCGAAGGAAAGGGUCGGUGAGGAGAGGAGAUGAGAGAUAGAGAGAGCAACCGGGAUCGAAAUGGAGGCGGUAUCGAAGAUGCGGAGUAGCAGGGAUCGAAGAGGCGGAAGAAAAAGGAGCGGAGUUGGAAGACGAAGGUGAGGAGCGAAGGACCAAGGAAAAAAUUAAGGGGCUGUUUAGUUGUACGCAUUUGCAACUGCAUGCGUGCAGCCACAAUUCCUUUGUUUGGUUUAGUGUAGUUGAGUUCAACUGCUGCAGUUCCAACUGCACAAGAAGGCCCAAAUGCUGCAGUUGGAACUACAUCCAAAUUGGUCGUAGUUCCAACUGCAGCAGUUGGUCAGGGAUAGGAUCACCCACAAAUUAAUAAUAAUAAAUAAAUAAAUAAAUAGCUAAAUAAAUAAAUAAUAU